ACCCUUAGAUGUUCUGGGCCGCACGCGCACUACAAUGAUGAAUUCAACGAGUUUAUAACCUUGGUUGAAAAGCCUGGGUAAUCUUUUGAACUUUCGUCGUGAUGGGGCUAGACCCUUGCAAUUAUUGGUCUCCAACGAGGAAUUCCUAGUAAACGCAAGUCAUCAGCUUGCAUUGAUUACGUCCCUGCCCUUUGUACACAUUGCCCGUCGCACCUACCGAUUGAAUGGUCCGGUGAAAUCUUCGGAUUGAGACUUUGUUUUCUUCACGGAAAACGCUGUUUUAAAAAGUUGAUUAAACCUUACCAUUUAGAGGAAGGUGAAGUCGUAACA
This 330-nucleotide ribosomal RNA is filed under the name uncultured eukaryote. RNAcentral describes it as "partial 18S ribosomal RNA". It matches the Rfam family "Eukaryotic small subunit ribosomal RNA", at positions 1469 to 1796 of the family's 1831-position model. The record is from RNAcentral.